Molecule: non-coding RNA, 102 nt
Filed under: uncultured Bariatricus sp.
Lineage: Bacteria; Bacillati; Bacillota; Clostridia; Lachnospirales; Lachnospiraceae
Description: THF riboswitch
Rfam family: THF (Tetrahydrofolate) riboswitch aptamer
About the family: THF riboswitch presents a pseudoknot that joins P1-P2 and the loop of P3 and two THF binding.
Source: RNAcentral
GCAGAGUAGAGAUACGGGCGUUAAGUGCCGGAUGGACGGGGAGUUGCCAGCCGGACGAAAGAUUUCAGAAUAAUCUGCGGCCCGUAUUUUGCAUCCCGCUGC